AUGGUGCGCGGUGGCGCGGCGACCCGAGCCAGAGCCCCAUGCCUGCCGGUGCUCCAGGCGGAUCCCUAUGGCGCGCAGCGGCGCGAGGACCUGAGCCGGAGCCCCACGGCGGCGCGCCCGGCGACCACCCCGACCACCCAGGCUGCGGGCGCGGCGACCACGGGCGAAGCCCCAUGGUGCAACGGCGACCACGGGCAGAGCCCUUUGGAGGCCCCCCACAAGUCAGUUAACGGUCAACCAAACGUAUCAUCAGCUCGGCGAGCGGUCCCGGUGCCGGAGGCUUGUCGGACAUUGAGCAACGCUCGCCACACAGUCUCCACAGUUGGCUGCACCGUCACCGUCACCGCCACCACCAUAACCACCACCACUUUGGCCGAAGUGGACACGGUCGCGCACCGAGCUGCUCCCCGCGGUUUCAACCUCACGCUGUCGAAUAUCAAGAUGAAGGCCACCGUGACGGUGCACAUGAAAAAAGAGCGGGAAGAUCCGGUCUCCAGUUAUUGCAAAUACUCGGGUACAGGAGCCGAUGAGGAGUUCUACACGUACGAGGCCACCUUCACGGUGCCGGCAUCGUUCGCGCCCAUCGGCGCCGUGCGCGUGGUGAACGACCAAAACACCGAGAUGUUGCUAGCUAGGAGAGGUAAGCAUCUUCCCCGCCGACCAGGGCCCGGAGUCGUCCAGCGCUACGUUAUUCCACUGCAACUCGUCUCGUGGAUCCACCCCUCGCACAGCAGCCACGACAAGCGUACUUUCUUCCCUGUCACGCAGCUACCAUCGUGCCUGCGUGUGGUGCACUACUCUUACCUCCCGUCGCAGACGCCCGAGGGCAUGAAGAGGCUGCGCAGCAGUGAGCUACUGGCCAUCCGCGGCGACGGCACCGGCGAGCGCAAGCCACACCAGCGCAUCUACGACUAUGACGUCUACAACGACCUCGGCAACAAGCGACCUGUCCUCGGGGGUGAAAAGCGCCCCUACCCGCGACGCUGCCGCACGGGCCGCCGUCACUACAAGCAAGAUGCAGCUUCAGAUGCACCUUCGGAAAUGAGGGCCACCGACAAGAUUUAUGUGCCCCGGGAUGAGGCGUUCACGGAGAUAAAAGACGCGGCGUUCAUAAGAGAGUUGGUUUAUUUUGUCCGUGGCACACGCGGCCUGCACGCUCAAGUUCAAGGAUAUGAAAGACCACAGGAGCCACAGGAGCCCUCGCAAUCGCAACCGCACACACAAGCGGAGAUUGUCGGGGUCAUGAUAGGUUUUGUUGUGGAUGAGCUGGAGCACCUCCUCCAUGGAGCGCACCUUUGCGAGGAGAUCCGCAGGUUCUUGAAGUUCGAAACGCCGGAAAUUCAUGAUAAGGACAAGUUUGCUUGGUUCAGAGAUGAGGAGUUUGCGCGACAAACCCUUGCAGGGAUGAACCCACUGAGCAUCCAACUAGUCACGGAGUUGCGUAUCGUCAGCAAGCUGGACGGGCCAUCCCUUAUCACUAAAGAGCUGAUUGAAGAGCAGAUAAACGGUGUCAUGACAGCUGAGGAGGCCAUGAGUAAGAAGAAGCUGUUCAUGCUGGACUACCACGACAUGUUCCUGCCAUUCGUACACAAGCUCGCCAAGUCCCAUGUCCUGGCUCAUGACACCGGCUACCACCAGCUCGUUAGCCACUGGCUGAGGACGCACGGUUGUGUUGAACCGUACAUCAUCGCGGCUAACCGGCAGCUGAGCCGGAUGCACCCCGUCUACCAGCUGCUGCACCCGCACUUCCGGUACACCAUGGAGAUAAACGCUCAGGCGCGCCAGAUGCUCAUCGACGCGGGUGGGAUCAUCGAGAGCACCUUUUCGACGGGAAGAUACUGCAUGGAGCUCAGCUCCGUGGUUUACGACAAGUUCUGGCGGUUCGUCAUGGAGGCUCUGCCGGAAGAUCUCAUCCGGAGGGGCAUGGCGAUCAGAAGGGAGGAUGGCAAACUGGGGUUGGCCAUAGAGGACUACCCGUACGCCAACGAUGGCCUCAUGGUCUGGGAUGCCAUCAAGCAGUGGGCGUCCGACUACGUGAAGUGCUACUACUCAUGCGCGGAGGACAUCAUCGACGACCAGGAGCUCCAAGGUUGGUGGACGGAGGUGCGAACCAAAGGCCACGAGGAUAAGAAGGACGAGCCGUGGUGGCCGGUGCUGGACAGCCACGAGAGUCUCGUCCAAGUCUUGGCCGCCAUCAUGUGGGUCACGUCCGCGCACCACGCCGCCGUCAACUUUGGCCAGUACCCCAUGGCUGGGUACAUCCCCAACCGCCCAACCACAACCCGGAAGAACAUGCCGCCGGAGAUGGGCGGCCCCGACUCCAAGGAGAUGCGCGCGUUUCUGGAGGAGCCGGAGAGGGUGCUGCUGGACACCUUCCCAUCCCAGUACCAGAGUGUCGUGGUCAUGCUGGUACUGAACCUCCUGUCCUCACACUCGCCAGACGAGGAAUACAUGGGCACGUACCAAGAGCUUGUUUGGAGCAAGGAAGAGAAGAUCAAAGAGGCUUUUGACAGGCUCAAAUCCAAAAUGAUAGACAUCGCGGCGCAGAUCGACACCGGUAUUGAGGGUUUCCCCGUGUAA
RNAcentral lists this ribosomal RNA (2580 nucleotides) under Triticum aestivum (bread wheat). Its description in RNAcentral is "partial small subunit ribosomal RNA". The record is from RNAcentral. Lineage: Eukaryota; Viridiplantae; Streptophyta; Magnoliopsida; Poales; Poaceae.